UGGGGAAUAUUGCACAAUGGGCGCAAGCCUGAUGCAGCAACGCCGCGUGAAGGAUGAAGGGUUUCGGCUCGUAAACUUCUUUAGGCAGGGACGAAGAAAGUGACGGUACCUGCAGAAUAAGCCCCGGCUAACUACGUGCCAGCAGCCGCGGUAAUACGUAGGGGGCAAGCGUUAUCCGGAAUUACUGGGUGUAAAGGGUGAGUAGGCGGCUUCGUAAGUCAUAUGUGAAAUCCCUGGGCUUAACCCAGGGACUGCAUAAGAAACUGUGAGGCUAGAGUACAGGAGAGGUAAGCGGAAUUCCUAGUGUAGCGGUGAAAUGCGUAGAUAUUAGGAAGAACACCAGUGGCGAAGGCGGCUUACUGGACUGAAACUGACGCUGAGUCACGAAAGCGUGGGGAGCGAACA
RNAcentral lists this ribosomal RNA (405 nucleotides) under uncultured Eubacteriales bacterium. Its description in RNAcentral is "uncultured Clostridiales bacterium partial 16S ribosomal RNA". It matches the Rfam family "Bacterial small subunit ribosomal RNA", at positions 355 to 774 of the family's 1533-position model. Lineage: Bacteria; Bacillati; Bacillota; Clostridia; Eubacteriales. The record is from RNAcentral.